RNAcentral lists this ribosomal RNA (468 nucleotides) under uncultured bacterium. RNAcentral describes it as "partial 16S ribosomal RNA". It matches the Rfam family "Bacterial small subunit ribosomal RNA", at positions 28 to 507 of the family's 1533-position model. The record is from RNAcentral.
GACGAACGCUGGCGGCGUGCUUAACACAUGCAAGUCGAACGGAAAGGCCCUGCUUUUGUGGGGUGCUCGAGUGGCGAACGGGUGAGUAACACGUGAGUAACCUGCCCUUGACUUUGGGAUAACUUCAGGAAACUGGGGCUAAUACCGGAUAGGAGCUCCUGCUGCAUAGUGGGGGUUGGAAAGUUUCGGCGGUUGGGGAUGGACUCGCGGCUUAUCAGCUUGUUGGUGGGGUAGUGGCUUACCAAGGCUUUGACGGGUAGCCGGCCUGAGAGGGUGACCGGCCACAGUGGGACUGAGAUACGGCCCAGACUCCUACGGGAGGCAGCAGUGGGGAAUAUUGCACAAUGGGCGGAAGCCUGAUGCAGCAACGCCGCGUGCGGGAUGACGGCCUUCGGGUUGUAAACCGCUUUCGCCUGUGACGAAGCGUGAGUGACGGUAAUGGGUAAAGAAGCACCGGCUAACUACGUG